RNAcentral lists this ribosomal RNA (465 nucleotides) under Clostridioides difficile. Its description in RNAcentral is "partial 23S ribosomal RNA". It matches the Rfam family "Bacterial large subunit ribosomal RNA", at positions 2458 to 2925 of the family's 2925-position model. The record is from RNAcentral. Lineage: Bacteria; Bacillati; Bacillota; Clostridia; Peptostreptococcales; Peptostreptococcaceae.
AAAAGCUACCCUGGGGAUAACAGGCUUAUCUCCCCCAAGAGUCCACAUCGACGGGGAGGUUUGGCACCUCGAUGUCGGCUCAUCACAUCCUGGGGCUGUAGUAGGUCCCAAGGGUUGGGCUGUUCGCCCAUUAAAGUGGUACGCGAGCUGGGUUCAGAACGUCGUGAGACAGUUCGGUCCCUAUCCGUCGCAGGCGUAGGAAAUUUGAGAAGACCUGUCCUUAGUACGAGAGGACCGGGAUGGACGUACCUCUGGUGUACCAGUUGUCCUGCCAAGGGCAUGGCUGGGUAGCUAUGUACGGAAUGGAUAAGCGCUGAAAGCAUCUAAGCGCGAAGCCAACUUCAAGAUAAGAUUUCCCACCGCAAGGGUAAGACCCCAGAAAGACUAUCUGGUUGAUAGGUCGAAGGUGUAAGUGCAGUAAUGUAUUUAGCUUAUCGAUACUAAUAGGUCGAGGACUUGACCAAU